GACGAACGCUGGCGGCGUGCCUAAUACAUGCAAGUCGAACGCAGUGGGGACGGGUGAGUAACACGUGGGUAACCUCCCAUCAGAGGGGAUAACACUUGGAAACAGGUGCUAAACCGAUACUGAUGGAUGGACCCGCGGUGCAUUAGCUAGUUGGGGAGGUAACGGCUCAACAAGGCCACGAUGCAUAGCCGCCCUGAGAGUGUGUGCGGCCACACUGGGACUGUGACACGGCCCAUAUUCCGACGUGAGGAAGCAUUAGGGAAUCUUCUGCAAUGGACGAAAGUCUGACCGAGCAACGCCGCGUGAGUGAAGAAGGUUUUCGGAUCGUAAAACUCUGGUGUUAGAGAAGCGGUAUCUAACCAGAAAGCCACGGCUAACUACGUGCCAGCAGCCGCGGUAAUUC
RNAcentral lists this ribosomal RNA (403 nucleotides) under uncultured bacterium. RNAcentral's name for it is "partial 16S ribosomal RNA". It matches the Rfam family "Bacterial small subunit ribosomal RNA", at positions 28 to 526 of the family's 1533-position model. The record is from RNAcentral.